CAGGGAUUGCCCUAGUAACGGCGAGUGAAGCGGCAACAGCUCAAAUUUGAAAUCUGGCUCUCGGGCCCGAGUUGUAAUUUGUAGAGGAUACUUUUGAUGCGGUGCCUUCCGAGUUCCCUGGAACGGGACGCCAUAGAGGGUGAGAGCCCCGUCUGGUUGGAUGCCAAAUCUCUGUAAAGUUCCUUCAACGAGUCGAGUAGUUUGGGAAUGCUGCUCUAAAUGGGAGGUAUAUGUCUUCUAAAGCUAAAUACCGGCCAGAGACCGAUAGCGCACAAGUAGAGUGAUCGAAAGAUGAAAAGCACUUUGAAAAGAGAGUUAAAAAGUACGUGAAAUUGUUGAAAGGGAAGCGUUUAUGACCAGACUUGGGCUUGGUUAAUCAUCUGGGGUUCUCCCCAGUGCACUUUUCCAGUCCAGGCCAGCAUCAGUUUUCCCCGGGGGAUAAAGGCGGCGGGAAUGUGGCUCUCUUCGGGGAGUGUUAUAGCCCACCGUGUAAUACCCUGGGGGGGACUGAGGUUCGCGCAUCUGCAAGGAUGCUGGCGUAAUGGUCAUCAACGACCCGUCUUGAAACACGGACCCCUGUGUGAAAUUGUUAU
RNAcentral lists this ribosomal RNA (593 nucleotides) under Fusarium oxysporum. RNAcentral describes it as "eukaryotic LSU rRNA". It matches the Rfam family "Eukaryotic large subunit ribosomal RNA", at positions 69 to 685 of the family's 3401-position model. Lineage: Eukaryota; Fungi; Ascomycota; Sordariomycetes; Hypocreales; Nectriaceae. The record is from RNAcentral.